This 766-nucleotide ribosomal RNA is filed under the name uncultured bacterium. RNAcentral describes it as "bacterial SSU rRNA". It matches the Rfam family "Bacterial small subunit ribosomal RNA", at positions 625 to 1390 of the family's 1533-position model. The record is from RNAcentral.
UUUGGAUACUGAUGGGCUUGAGUGCAGGAGAGGUAAGCGGAAUUCCCGGUGUAGCGGUGAAAUGCGUAGAGAUCGGGAGGAACACCAGUGGCGAAGGCGGCUUACUGGACUGUAACUGACGCUGAGGCGCGAAAGUGUGGGGAGCAAACAGGAUUAGAUACCCUGGUAGUCCACACUGUAAACGAUGAGUGCUAGGUGUAGGGGGUAUCAACCCCUUCUGUGCCGGAGUAAACACAAUAAGCAUUCCGCCUGGGGAGUACGGCCGCAAGGUUGAAACUCAAAGGAAUUGACGGGGGCCCGCACAAGCAGCGGAGCAUGUGGUUUAAUUCGAAGCAACGCGAAGAACCUUACCAGGUCUUGACAUCCAAUAAAACUUGUAGAGAUACAUCGUGCCUUCGGGCGUAUUGAGACAGGUGGUGCAUGGUUGUCGUCAGCUCGUGUCGUGAGAUGUUGGGUUAAGUCCCGCAACGAGCGCAACCCUUGUGAUCAGUUACUAACGGGUAAAGCCGAGGACUCUGAUAAGACUGCCGGGGACAACUCGGAGGAAGGUGGGGACGACGUCAAAUCAUCAUGCCCCUUAUGACCUGGGCUACACACGUGCUACAAUGGCCGUUACAGAGAGAAGCGAUACUGAGAAGUGGAGCGGAUCUCAAAAAAGCGGUCCCAGUUCGGAUUGUGGGCUGCAACCCGCCCACAUGAAGUCGGAGUUGCUAGUAAUCGCGGAUCAGCAUGCCGCGGUGAAUACGCUCCCGGGCCUUGUACACAC